RNAcentral lists this ribosomal RNA (253 nucleotides) under uncultured bacterium. RNAcentral describes it as "partial 16S ribosomal RNA". It matches the Rfam family "Bacterial small subunit ribosomal RNA", at positions 524 to 776 of the family's 1533-position model. The record is from RNAcentral.
UACGUAGGGGGCAAGCGUUGUCCGGAAUCAUUGGGCGUAAAGCGCGCGCAGGCGGCCCGGUAAGUCCGUUGUGAAAGUCAAAGGCUCAACCUUUGAACGCCGAUGGAUACUGCCGGGCUAGAGUCCGGAAGAGGCGAGUGGAAUUCCUGGUGUAGCGGUGGAAUGCGCAGAUAUCAGGAGGAACACCAAUAGCGAAGGCAGCUCGCUGGGACGGUACUGACGCUGAGGCGCGAAAGCGUGGGGAGCGAACAGG